GUGUCAGCCGCCGCGGUAAUACGUAAGGGGCAAGCGUUGUCCGGAAUCACUGGGCGUAAAGCGCACGUAGGCGGCUUGGCAAGUCAGGGGUGCAAGCUCCAGGCUUAACCUGGAAAUUGCCUCUGAAACUACCUCGCUUGAGGGUCAGAGGGGAAACUGGAAUUCACGGUGUAGCGGUGAAAUGCGUAGAUAUCGUGGAGAACACCCGUGGCGAAGGCGGGUUUCUGGCUGAUCACUGACGCUGAGGUGCGAAAGCUAGGGGAGCGAACGGGAUUAGAAACCCUCGUAGUCC
RNAcentral lists this ribosomal RNA (292 nucleotides) under uncultured bacterium. RNAcentral's name for it is "partial 16S ribosomal RNA". It matches the Rfam family "Bacterial small subunit ribosomal RNA", at positions 505 to 796 of the family's 1533-position model. The record is from RNAcentral.